Molecule: ribosomal RNA, 438 nt
Filed under: uncultured bacterium
Lineage: Bacteria
Description: bacterial SSU rRNA
Rfam family: Bacterial small subunit ribosomal RNA
Source: RNAcentral
GUACGGGAGGCAGCAGUGAGGGAUCUUCGGCAAUGGGGGCAACCCUGACCGAGCAACGCCGCGUGCGGGAGGACGGCCUUCGGGUUGUAAACCGCUUUUCUGUGGGACGAGUAUGGACGGUACCACAGGAAGAAGUCUCGGCUAACUACGUGCCAGCAGCCGCGGUAAUACGUAGGAGACGAGCGUUGUCCGGAGUUACUGGGCGUAAAGGGUGCGCAGGCGGCCGCGCGCGUCGCGAGUGAAAUCUCCCGGCUCAACUGGGAGGGUGGUCGCGAGACGGCGUGGCUUGAGGCGUGGAGAGGGGCGUGGAAUUCCGGGUGGAGCGGUGAAAUGCGUAGAGAUCCGGAGGAACACCGACGGCGUAGGCAGCGCCCUGGACACGACCUGACGCUCAGGCACGAAAGCUCGGGGAGCGAACAGGAUUAGAUACCCGUGUAC